Molecule: ribosomal RNA, 270 nt
Filed under: Gigaspora margarita
Lineage: Eukaryota; Fungi; Glomeromycota; Glomeromycetes; Diversisporales; Gigasporaceae
Description: partial 28S ribosomal RNA
Source: RNAcentral
UUUUGAAAGGGAAACGAUUGAAGUCAGUCAUGCCGGUGGGAAUCAACUUAGGGGAAACUCUGGGUGCACUUCUUCGCUUGGCAGGUCAACGUCGAUUUUGAAUGUCAUAAAAUAAUUGGGGGAAGGUAGCUCCUUCGGGAGUGUUAUAGCCCUUGAUAGAUGUGAUGUUUGGGGUCGAGGAUUGCAACGGAUACCCUUCGGGGCUAGCCGCCUGAUCUCUAAUUGGUGUUGGGUUACGGAUAGCAUGCUGACCGUGAUCUAAUUACUGGU